GAUUCUUCGGAUGAUUUUCAGUUGACUGAGCGGCGGACGGGUGAGUAACGCGUGGGUGACCUGCCCCAUACCGGGGGAUAACAGCUGGAAACGGCUGCUAAUACCGCAUAAGCGCACAGAGCUGCAUGGCUCGGUGUGAAAAACUCCGGUGGUAUGGGAUGGGCCCGCGUCUGAUUAGGCAGUUGGCGGGGUAACGGCCCACCAAACCGACGAUCAGUAGCCGGCCUGAGAGGGCGACCGGCCACAUUGGGACUGAGACACGGCCCAAACUCCUACGGGAGGCAGCAGUGGGGAAUAUUGCACAAUGGGGGAAACCCUGAUGCAGCGACGCCGCGUGAGCGAAGAAGUAUUUCGGUAUGUAAAGCUCUAUCAGCAGGGAAGAUAAUGACGGUACCUGACUAAGAAGCCCCGGCUAACUAUGUGCCAGCAGCCGCGGUAAUACGUAGGGGGCAAGCGUUAUCCGGAUUUACUGGGUGUAAAGGGAGCGUAGACGGCAAGGCAAGUCUGAUGUGAAAACCCAGGGCUUAACCCUGGGACUGCAUUGGAAACUGUCUGGCUCGAGUGCCGGAGAGGUAAGCGGAAUUCCUAGUGUAGCGGUGAAAUGCGUAGAUAUUAGGAGGAACACCAGUGGCGAAGGCGGCUUACU
This 646-nucleotide ribosomal RNA is filed under the name uncultured Lachnospiraceae bacterium. Its description in RNAcentral is "bacterial SSU rRNA". It matches the Rfam family "Bacterial small subunit ribosomal RNA", at positions 68 to 730 of the family's 1533-position model. The record is from RNAcentral. Lineage: Bacteria; Bacillati; Bacillota; Clostridia; Lachnospirales; Lachnospiraceae.